Molecule: transfer RNA, 71 nt
Filed under: Camelus bactrianus (Bactrian camel)
Lineage: Eukaryota; Metazoa; Chordata; Mammalia; Artiodactyla; Camelidae
Also listed under: 2 other names
Rfam family: tRNA
About the family: Transfer RNA (tRNA) molecules are approximately 80 nucleotides in length.
Source: Rfam by way of RNAcentral
GAGGGCACAGCUCAGUGGUAGAGCGUGUGCUUAGCAUGCACGAGUCUUGGGUUCAAUCCCCAGUGCCUCCA